Molecule: ribosomal RNA, 436 nt
Filed under: Pleosporales sp. ES112
Lineage: Eukaryota; Fungi; Ascomycota; Dothideomycetes; Pleosporales
Description: SSU rRNA
Rfam family: Eukaryotic small subunit ribosomal RNA
Source: RNAcentral
GUUAAAAAGCUCGUAGUUGAACCUUUGGCCUGGCUGGCAGGUCCGCCUCACCGCGUGCACUUGUCCGGCCGGGCCUUUCUUCUGGAGAACCGCAUGCCCUUCACUGGGUGUGUGGGGACCAGGACUUUUACUUUGAAAAAAUUAGAGUGUUCAAAGCAGGCUUUGCUCGAAUACGUUAGCAUGGAAUAAUAGAAUAGGACGUGCGGUCCUAUUUUGUUGGUUUCUAGGACCGCCGUAAUGAUUAAUAGGGACAGUCGGGGGCAUCAGUAUUCAAUUGUCAGAGGUGAAAUUCUUGGAUUUAUUGAAGACUAACUACUGCGAAAGCAUUUGCCAAGGAUGUUUUCAUUAAUCAGGAACGAAAGUUAGGGGAUCGAAGACGAUCAGAUACCGUCGUAGUCUUAACCAUAAACUAUGCCGACUAGGGAUCGGGCGGUGU